UAGGGAAUCUUCGGCAAUGGGGGGAACCCUGACCGAGCAACGCCGCGUGAGUGAAGAAGGUUUUCGGAUCGUAAAGCUCUGUUGUUAAGGAAGAACGAGUGUGAGAAUGGAAAGUUCAUGCUGUGACGGUACUUAACCAGAAAGGGACGGCUAACUACGUGACAGCAGCCGCGGUAAUACGUAGGUCCCGAGCGUUGUCCGGAUUUAUUGGGCGUAAAGCGAGCGCAGGCGGUUAGAAAAGUCUGAAGUGAAAGGCAGUGGCUCAACCAUUGUAGGCUUUGGAAACUGUUUAACUUGAGUGCAGAAGGGGAGAGUGGAAUUCCAUGUGUAGCGGUGAAAUGCGUAGAUAUAUGGAGGAACACCGGUGGCGAAAGCGGCUCUCUGGUCUGUAACUGACGCUGAGGCUCGAAAGCGUGGGGAGCGAACAGG
Molecule: ribosomal RNA, 429 nt
Filed under: Bacteroidota bacterium
Lineage: Bacteria; Pseudomonadati; Bacteroidota
Also listed under: 1 other name
Description: Bacteroidetes bacterium partial 16S ribosomal RNA
Rfam family: Bacterial small subunit ribosomal RNA
Source: RNAcentral